AAACUCCGCAAUGCGGGAAACCGUGACGGGGCUACCCCGAGUGCCUCCCUUGUGGAGGCUUUUCUCCGCUGUAGGGAGGCGGAGGAAUAAGCGGGGGGCAAGUCUGGUGUCAGCCGCCGCGGUAAUACCAGCCCCGCGAGUGGUCGGGGUGCUUACUGGGCCUAAAGCGGCCGUAGCCGGCCCGGUAAGUCCCCCCUUAAAGCCCCGGGCUCAACCCGGGGACCGGGGGGAUACUGCCGGGCUAGAGGGCGGGAGAGGCCGGCGGUACUCCCGGGGUAGGGGCGAAAUCCUAUAAUCCCGGGAGGACCACCAGUGGCGAAGGCGGCCGGCUGGAACGCGCCUGACGGUGAGGGCCGAAAGCCGGGGGAGCGAACCGGAUUAGAUACCCGGGUAGUCCCGGCUGUAAACGAUGCGGGCUAGGUGUUGGGCGAGCGAUAGGGCUCGCCCAGUGCCACAGGGAA
Molecule: ribosomal RNA, 461 nt
Filed under: uncultured Desulfurococcus sp.
Lineage: Archaea; Thermoproteati; Thermoproteota; Thermoprotei; Desulfurococcales; Desulfurococcaceae
Description: bacterial SSU rRNA
Rfam family: Archaeal small subunit ribosomal RNA
Source: RNAcentral